RNAcentral lists this ribosomal RNA (328 nucleotides) under uncultured eukaryote. RNAcentral's name for it is "partial 18S ribosomal RNA". It matches the Rfam family "Eukaryotic small subunit ribosomal RNA", at positions 1470 to 1796 of the family's 1831-position model. The record is from RNAcentral.
CCCUUAGACGUUCUGGGCCGCACGCGCGCUACACUGACGGAGCCAGCGAGUAUAAACCUUGGCCGAGAGGUCUGGGAGAUCUUGUGAAACUCCGUCGUGCUGGGGAUAGAGCAUUGUAAUUAUUGCUCUUCAACGAGGAAUUCCUAGUAAGCGCAAGUCAUCAGCUUGCGUUGAUUACGUCCCUGCCCUUUGUACACACCGCCCGUCGCUACUACCGAUUGAAUGGCUUAGUGAGGCUUCCGGAUUGGUUUAGAGAAGGGGGCAACUCCAUCUUGGAACCGAGAAGCUAGUCAAACUUGGUCAUUUAGAGGAAGUAAAAGUCGUAACA